UGGGGAAUAUUGGACAAUGGGCGAAAGCCUGAUCCAGCCAUGCCGCGUGUGUGAAGAAGGUCUUCGGAUUGUAAAGCACUUUAAGUUGGGAGGAAGGGCAUUAACCUAAUACGUUAGUGUUUUGACGUUACCGACAGAAUAAGCACCGGCUAACUCUGUGCCAGCAGCCGCGGUAAUACAGAGGGUGCAAGCGUUAAUCGGAAUUACUGGGCGUAAAGCGCGCGUAGGUGGUUUGUUAAGUUGGAUGUGAAAUCCCCGGGCUCAACCUGGGAACUGCAUUCAAAACUGACUGACUAGAGUAUGGUAGAGGGUGGUGGAAUUUCCUGUGUAGCGGUGAAAUGCGUAGAUAUAGGAAGGAACACCAGUGGCGAAGGCGACCACCUGG
This 385-nucleotide ribosomal RNA is filed under the name uncultured bacterium. Its description in RNAcentral is "partial 16S ribosomal RNA". It matches the Rfam family "Bacterial small subunit ribosomal RNA", at positions 355 to 732 of the family's 1533-position model. The record is from RNAcentral.